This 351-nucleotide ribosomal RNA is filed under the name Zaglossus bruijni (long-beaked echidna). RNAcentral describes it as "partial 12S ribosomal RNA". It matches the Rfam family "Bacterial small subunit ribosomal RNA", at positions 799 to 1356 of the family's 1533-position model. The record is from RNAcentral. Lineage: Eukaryota; Metazoa; Chordata; Mammalia; Monotremata; Tachyglossidae.
GCCCUAAACUUAAGUCGUUAAACAACAAAACUACUCACCAGAGAACUACUAGCAACAGCUUAAAACUCAAAGGACUUGGCGGUGCUUCACCCCUCUAGAGGAGCCUGUUCUAUAAUCGAUAAACCCCGAUAUACCCCACCAUCUUUUGCCACUACUGUCUAUAUACCGCCAUCGUCAGCCAACCCUAAAAAGGAGUAACAGUAGGCACAAUUAUCUCUCAUAAAAACGUUAGGUCAAGGUGUAGCCUAUAAGAUGGAAGGAGUGGGCUACGUUUUCUAAACUAGAACAUACGAAAAACCCUAUGAAACUAGGGUCCCAAGGAGGAUUUAGCAGUAAGUUGAGAAUAGAGAG